GACGAACGCUGGCGGCGUGCUUAACACAUGCAAGUCGAACGGAAAGGCCCUGCUUUUGUGGGGUGCUCGAGUGGCGAACGGGUGAGUAACACGUGAGUAACCUGCCCUUGACUUUGGGAUAACUUCAGGAAACUGGGGCUAAUACCGGAUAGGAGCUCCUGCCGCAUGGUGGGGGUUGGAAAGUUUCGGCGGUUGGGGAUGGACUCGCGGCUUAUCAGCUUGUUGGUGGGGUAGUGGCUUACCAAGGCUUUGACGGGUAGCCGGCCUGAGAGGGUGACCGGCCACAUUGGGACUGAGAUACGGCCCAGACUCCUACGGGAGGCAGCAGUGGGGAAUAUUGCACAAUGGGCGGAAGCCUGAUGCAGCAACGCCGCGUGCGGGAUGACGGCCUUCAGGUUGUAAACCGCUUUCGCCUGUGACGAAGCGUGAGUGACGGUAAUGGGUAAAGAAGCACCGGCUAACUACGUG
Molecule: ribosomal RNA, 468 nt
Filed under: uncultured bacterium
Lineage: Bacteria
Description: partial 16S ribosomal RNA
Rfam family: Bacterial small subunit ribosomal RNA
Source: RNAcentral